Non-coding RNA from Drosophila virilis, 845 nucleotides. The record is from RefSeq and is a predicted model, not a curated record. NCBI's taxonomy places the organism in Eukaryota, Metazoa, Arthropoda, Insecta, Diptera, Drosophilidae.
GAUGGCGGCGCUGCAUGUGGCGGGCGUCAUCAUUGAGUUUUCUUUUGAUUUUCAUUAAUGUGAGCCGUGGAAAACCGAAGAGGGCGCGUAAUUGAUUUGUACCUUAGGCUUUCCAGUAAUUAUAAACACUCCAGAUUUGUGGAGACUUUACUAUGUUGAACAAUAAGGAGUAGCAGUUAGAAAACUUCUUACCCUAAGUUUCUUAUGGAGACAAUAAAGCUUUGGAGAAAAACAUUUAAAAAGCUGAGAUAUAUGAGCACUAGCAUAAAAAGGCGAAUGCUUUCGUAUUCGAGUUUUGAGUGGAAUCGUGUCGAGUUGUGAAAAACUACCAAAUGGGUGUGACAGUUAAUGACGCCAAGAGUCCACUCAUUCAAGUCGCCCUCUCAGUCGGCGCCAGUUUUGACACAUUGAAGAUCGCCAAAUUGAUCAUAGUUAGCAGCGAACCGAUGACAUCGCCACCGCCAUGAGCAAUCGUCAUAAGCUGCGCCGUAAAAACGCCCUCAAAAAACAAUGAAAAACUAAUAAGAAGGCUUAUGCUGGCAAUGCCGGACCAGAAGAUGCCCUGCAAAAACGUAUAAUAUCUAAGUGAAGCUUAGAAAGACAGAGCAUGCAAAUUUCAAACAGCGCAGCUUAUGCAGCUUGAACAGCUUCGUUCUUUAUAGUCCGAUAUUUGUGUUAUAUUCAAGGCUAACAUAGGCCAACCCAAACUGUGUAUAUACUAAAGUGCACGGCCAGGCCUUCAAAAUUCUUAUUUAUUGUAGAGUAUAAACGACUUAUCGAUUUCUUGAACUAUUGUUGUGACAAAUUUAAUAAUAUUAAGAGUUACGUCCCAAAAUCCAACUGAA